GGGGUACAGAUACAGCUUUAACACGUGGCAAGACGGCGUGUGAAGAGUUUUCAGUGGUCCUGGUCAGGGGUCCUGAGCGUCAGACCAAGGAGGUGGUGACAGAAGAAGCAGAGAAUGCGGGAUAAGCCAAAGAACAUUCUGGAAGAAGUCAAAAGACUAUAGGCAAAUUCCCAGGGGAAGUGUGAGUGCCCAGGAAACGGUGCUGAAGACACGGAUGAGAGUGUCAUCGGGACCUGCUGCGUGGACACCACCAUGGGAACCAACAGACUGGGGGAGCCCCGGGGCCUUGUGAGGGUUGGGGAGGGGUCAGUUCUGAGAGGCCCGGGCUAUAACGAGGAGACCCAGGAAGGAGGCCCAGGAGGGGCUGCAGUGGGGAGGCCCAGGAGGGGCUGCAGCGGGGGAGGCCCGGGAGGGGCCCCAGGGAGGCCUGCCCUGCUGGUGACCCUUGAGGAACCUGGGUGAGUGGAGACGCUGGGCUUCAGAGUCAAGGGCUGAGACAUAUCUUUUGGGGGCUUGAGAGCAGAAGAGACGGGGCUGCGGGGGCAUCCACCUCCUUGCUGGAGGCCUUGCGCUGAUUGCUCCACUGGCCUGCUGUUGGGCAGCAGCGAGCCCCGCGGUGGACACAUGGUGGCGCUGCAGGACAGCCUGGCGGCCACGCGGCAACACCAGGACCAGGGACCUGGGGCGGCUCCCUGCAGGGUCAGCACUGCCAAAGAGCUAGCACUCCAGCACCGUGCACCCCUAUAGCCUGCACUUGGGCAUCCAGCACCCCGCAUCCUGCACUCUGCAGCCAGCAACCCAGCAUCCCGGUACCCCAACAUCCUGCGCCCGGCACCAGCAGGCAGUGGCCCCUGGGAGUCCUUGCAGGAAGGCGGGUCCAAGAACCCUGGGUCGGGUAGGGAGAGGACCUGGAUGGGGGCAGGAGGGAUCUUCCCCGACUGGGAGAAGUCAUCCUUCUGCCCAUCCAUCCACUCGUUUGUUCCUUCAUCCACUCACUCGUUCACUCAUUCAUCCACUCACUCACUCAUCCAUUCGUUCAUGUAUCCACCCGCUGAUUCACUCAUUCGUCCACUCACGCAUCUGUUCAUCCAUCCAUCCCUCCAUUCAUUCCUUCGCUCAUUCAGCACUUACCAGGUGCCGGCUCUGCUCGGGGUGCUGGGGUCCCUGCUGCCCUGGGUGUGCAUAUGGCAGGGGUCACAGAGUGAUGAGGGUGGAGGGACAUCAGGUCAGUGAUCAGGAAAGGCUUCCUUGAGGAAGCAGCAUCUGAUCUCAAGAGCACCGCAGACAGAGGGACAGUGAGGGGACCAUGUAGGGACAGACUAGCGUGCAGGAUGGGGGUACAGGGCCCCGGGCUUGUCUGUUUCUGAUUCUCUGUGAGCUGGAGGCUGCUGGCCCUAACUGGGGAGGCGCUGAUCUAACCUGCAUUUUGAAAAGUGGCUCUGGCCGCUCCCUCGUGGAGAGAAGGGGUCGUCAUGGGAAACAACUCGGAGACUGAAGGUCGUCUGGGAAGAGCAGGUCAUGAAAGACAUGGGGCCUCCAGCCUGACAGCAAGCCCACAGGAGGCCCCCAGCCAGAACCACCCCACUCGGCGGCUCCGGAUUCCUGACCCUGGGCUGCUGUGAGAUGAUGAACGUCUGUCCUGAACCCCCAAACUGUUCCACAGCAGACGCACCAUUUUACACUCCGCCCAGCCGUGUACGAGGGUUCCAGUGUCUCCACGUCCUCGCCAACACUUGCUAUUUUCCGUUUUCUUGAAUAAAGUCGUCCUGGUGGGUGCGAAGUGCUAUCUCACUGUGGUUUUGAUUUGCGUUUCCCUAGUGACUAAUGAGCCAGCCCCGGUGGGCUAGUGGUUAAGAUCUGGCGCUCUCGCUGCCAUGGCCCAGGUUCAUCUCCUGGUCCGGGAACCACACCACCCGUCUGUUGGUUGUCACACUACAGGGGCUGCAUGUUGCUGUGAUGCUGAAAGCUAUGCCACCAGGAUUUCAAACACCAGCAGUGUCACCCAUGGUGGACAGGUUUCAGCGGAGCUUCCAGACUAAGACAGACUAGGAAGAAGGAACUGGCCACCCAUUUUCGAAAAAAUUGGCCAUGAAAACCCUGUGAACAGCAGUGGAGCGCUGUCUGAUCGAGCGGCUGGAAGGCGAGAGGAUGGCGCAGAAAGCCCAGGCGGGUUCCGCUCUGCUGUGCACCAGGCGCUAGGUGUUGGAAUCCACUCGACAGCACUAACAACAAAUGACUAAUGACGCUGAGCAUCUUUUCAUGGGCUUGUUGGCCAUUUGAACCUCUUCUUUGGAGAAACGUCUAGUCAAAUCCUUUGUCCAUUUUUUAACUGGGCUGCUUGUCCUCUGGUUGUCGAGUUGUAAGAGUCCUUUAUAUGUUCUGGAUGUUAAACUCUUAUCAGACACAUGAUUUGCAAAUAUUGUCUCCAGACAGUUUUUCUAGAGGUUGGCUUUUGCGCAUUCUUGAUAAGCUCUUUUGGUGCAUAACAGUUUUUCAUUUUUAUGAAGUCCAAUUUAUCUAUCUUUUCUUUUCUUGCAUGUGCUUCUGGUGUCAAAUCUAGGAAUCCAUUGCCAUACUCGAGGUCAUGAGGAUUUACCCUGAUGUUCUUUUCUCAGGAGCUUUAUAGUUUCAGCUCUAUUUGUAUUUAGGCUGUUGAUGCAUUUUGAGAUAGUUUCCGUAUGUGGUGUGUGGUGGGGUCCACCUUUUUUCUUUUGCAUGUGGGUGUCCCGCUGUCCCAGAACCAUCUGUUAACAGACUGUUCCUCCCCCGCUGAAUGGUCUUGUCAUCGUUGUUGAACAUAAUUGCCACAGAUGUUCGGCUGUGCUGGGGGCUCUGUGCUCUAGUCCGCCGGUCUGUGAGUCUGUCCUUAUGCCAGGACCGCACUGUCUUGAUUCCUGUAGCUUUGUAGUAAGUUUUGAAACAGGGAAGUACAAAUUUUUCAACUUUUUCUUUCUCAGUAUUGUUCUGGCUAAAUAGGGGCCCCUCGCAAUUCCACAUGAACUUGAGGGUUGGUCUUCCAUGUUGAUGGGAUUCACUGAACCUGCGGAUUGCGUUCGGGAUGUUGCCGUUUAGCAACAUUAGGUCUUCUCAUCCAUGAACGAGAUGCCUUACCGUGUGUUUAGGUUCCCUUUGAUGGUUUGAGCAGUGUUUUGCAGUUUUCAGUGUAAGGGUCUUUCGUCUCCUUGGUUAAAUCUGUUCCUGUGUAUUUUAUUCUUGUUGAUACUACUGUAAAGGGAACUGGCUCCUUAAUUUCCGUUUCAGAUUGUUCACUGCUGGCGUGCCGUCUGUUUUCUUCUCCAGUCCAGUAAGUUCCGAUUCCUCCUCCCACACACAGUGGGCAGUGCCUGGGUUGGUGAAUGGGGUGCCUCACCUGGAUUCCAGAUCCUUCGCUGCUUGUCCCAACUGCACACUUUCAGGCCCCAUGUGGACCUGCUGCUGCCCCUUCCUGAGGCCGACCAGCUGGCCAGGGCUCCCUGGAGGCCCUUUGGGCUGAAACUCUGGCAAAGCCUCCCCGGCCCUGCAUCUCACCCCCAGCUGGGGGAUGACAAGAAGAAUCAUCAGGGAAGGCCUAGGAGAAAUUCCUGCAAAGCCACAGAGGUGCCCCUCUGCCCCCGGAGCCCUGCUCCCCGCCCUGUGGAUGUGGCUGCAUCAGGAUGUGGGAGCCUUGGGGGCGCUCCUGGCUGUCUGGGUGGCAUCCGACCCCCAAUGCUGCUGAGCCCCAGGUGACACCAGCCCCUGGCCCAGGUGAUGGAGAUGGCCCCAGAGGCCUAGCCGUGGCCUUGGGGGCUCCUGCCGGCAGGACAGUCCCUCUGGCCCCAGAGAGCCAAUUCAGAACUUGCCAGUGGGGCCUCAGGGGUGUCUGGAGGAAGCUGCAGCGAUGACUGCCCCCAGGGAGUGAAGAAGCAGGUCCCCUCCCCCAGCUCCCAGGGGGAGCUGAAACCAUCUCGUCCCUCCACCCUCUGGGUGGCGACUACCUGGAGCCUGGGAGGGAGGGACCCACGGCCUCCGGGGCUGGGCUGCGGCUGCCCCCUCUCCCCACCCCAGGGAGGAGCUGUUUGGACCAUGAGGAGGGGCUGGUGGGAGUGUGGACACCUUGAUGGGAGGAGGAAAUUCCCCUUCUUCAUGAAGAUGUGGCACCUGCUGGGGUUCUGGAUGGUUCUACUGGACCAGAGGGGAUGCUGCCCCCCAGGUGCCAGGCUUGUUGCCACGUGACCGAGCAGAGCCUGCUUCUUUCCAGAGAUGGGCGGCUGUGCUGCACCCUGGCUCCCGAGGUGGCUUCAUGUCAGCCCCCGGGGCCUGGGGACUGGUGGUGGUGGUGGUGGUGGGGUCCUGGGGACAGCCCUUUCCAGGACAUGCACGCUGGCCCUGGAGGUGGUGGGGAGCAAAGGGCGUGCCCUUGGGCCCAUGUUGGGAACAUGAAGCCCACCCCCUCACAAGUGGGCAGGGUCCCACCACCAGGUGGGAGGCCAAGAGACCUUCACUCCAAGCAACAGAUCCAGGGGCUGCAAUCGAUUUCCAAGGGUUUGUCUCUUCUAG
Molecule: long non-coding RNA, 4536 nt
Organism: Equus caballus (horse)
Lineage: Eukaryota; Metazoa; Chordata; Mammalia; Perissodactyla; Equidae
Source: Ensembl